This 309-nucleotide ribosomal RNA is filed under the name uncultured bacterium. RNAcentral describes it as "bacterial SSU rRNA". It matches the Rfam family "Bacterial small subunit ribosomal RNA", at positions 30 to 337 of the family's 1533-position model. The record is from RNAcentral.
AUUGAACGCUGGCGGCAGGCCUAACACAUGCAAGUCGAGCGGUAGAGAGGUGCUUGCAUCUCUUGAGAGCGGCGGACGGGUGAGUAAUGCCUAGGAAUCUGCCUGGUGGUGGGGGAUAACGUUCGGAAACGGACGCUAAUACCGCAUACGUCCUACGGGAGAAAGCCGGGGAUCUUCGGACCUCGCGCCAUUAGAUGAGCCUAGGUCGGAUUAGCUAGUUGGUGAGGUAAUGGACUCACCAAGGCGACGAUCCGUAACUGGUCUGAGAGGAUGAUCAGUCACACUGGAACUGAAGACACGGUCCAGACU